RNAcentral lists this ribosomal RNA (160 nucleotides) under Brigantiaea tricolor. RNAcentral describes it as "5.8S ribosomal RNA". It matches the Rfam family "5.8S ribosomal RNA". From Rfam's summary of the family: 5.8S ribosomal RNA (5.8S rRNA) is a component of the large subunit of the eukaryotic ribosome. It is transcribed by RNA polymerase I as part of the 45S precursor that also contains 18S and 28S rRNA. Lineage: Eukaryota; Fungi; Ascomycota; Lecanoromycetes; Teloschistales; Brigantiaeaceae. RNAcentral also lists the same sequence under 2 other names. The record is from RNAcentral.
AAAACUUUCAACAACGGAUCUCUUGGUUCCGGCAUCGAUGAAGAACGCAGCGAAAUGCGAUAAGUAAUGUGAAUUGCGGAAUUCAGUGAAUCAUCGAAUCUUUGAACGCACAUUGCGCCCCUUGGCCAUUCCUUGGGGCAUGCCUGUCCGAGCGUCAUUG